GUCGACUCAACCUAUCCUAUUGGUAGCAUAAGCUAAUAAGGGUUUGACUGUUCGUCAAUUAAAAGGUUACGUGAGUUGGGUUCAAUACGUCGUGAGACAGUAU
This 103-nucleotide non-coding RNA is filed under the name Pichia membranifaciens. RNAcentral describes it as "Eukaryotic large subunit ribosomal RNA". It matches the Rfam family "Bacterial large subunit ribosomal RNA", at positions 2531 to 2632 of the family's 2925-position model. Lineage: Eukaryota; Fungi; Ascomycota; Pichiomycetes; Pichiales; Pichiaceae. The record is from Rfam by way of RNAcentral.